CGGAAGUGUUGCCAUGGAAACUAAACGCCUAGCGAGGCCUCGGCGUCGCAUGCACGAGCUCAUCUCGCUCACAGAGCACACACAGACCUCGGGUUCAGGGGCACACAGGCUGUGUACCUGAAGCUAAUGAUAUAUAGCAGUGGAGAAGGAUUUGAAUACGACUGUCAGAAGAGUGGGAAAAACAAGCAAGACAUGUGUUCUAACAGAAACGUAUGUUUUAUGAAGGUAAAACAUUGAUUACUGCAUUGAUUUAAAUAGCUGAAAGUGACACGGAGACUAAAAAAACUUACCCAUCUUCUUCACAUACCCUUUUCUGACUUUCAUUCAUUCUCAUAUUUCCCCUUUCUGAUCCUCUCUCCUUCCUUCUUCCCUUUCUUAUUUCUGUAUUCCAUUUUUCAUAUUUCAUAUCUUUUUUCUCAUUCUCCCUCAUUCCCAUCUUCCCAUGUCUUGUUCUCCAUCUUUACAUACUGCAUCUUCCUUUCAAUCAUUCUCCACUCUGUCUUUUGUCCUUUCUCUUUAUUUAUACCUUUCUUUCCUUUGUCCUUGUUUCAUGCUAUUUUAUUCAUAUUUAUUCACCCUCCAUUCUGUCACAUUUCUUUUUUCCCCUUUCUUUUGUAUGAUCCAGAAAAGCUUUAUUUCUUAUUACUGUCCUUCUCUCCUAUGUCUCACUCACAUCUCCUACGGUUUCUUCUCUCUCAUCUUUCUCCAUUUUUAGAGGCUUAUUUUGCCUUAAGUUUUAAGGUCCUUUCUGACUGAAUAUUUCCCCUUCAUCUAUAUUUUGAGCUCUUUUUUUAUUUCUCUGUCAAGACUUCAAUCAUUAUUUCAUUUCCCUUUCCAUUCCCUCACUUUAUCUCUCUCUCCUUCUAUAUCUCAUCUCUCACUCUUUUCUCUUUCACUUCACAUUGUUUUCUACAUAAUAUUUCCUUCUCAUCCUUCUUUCAUAUUUUGCCUCUUUAUCGUACUCUUUAUUUCUCUUUCUCUCAUUUCUCUUGUGCUUCAGCUUUAUCAACACUCUUCUUUGAGUUCUUCCUUCUUUUUUUAUAUUUUUCUUUUGGUCUUUUAAAGGUUUUAGUUAUUUUACACCCCCUCCCUCUUUACUUAUUACUUUUUUCUUUUCAUUUAUUUCUCCCUCUGUUUUCAUGUUUCUCUCCUCUCUCAUUCUUAAUACUUUUUACUCUCCUUAUUUACACUUAUCCUUAUUUCUUCCUCUUUCAAUCGCCUUCCAAUUUUCAGUUCAUCACUGCCUCUCACUCUCUCUCUCUCUCACUGUGUGUGUGUGUGUGUGUGCAUGUGUGUGUGUGUGUGUGUGUGUGUGUGUGUGUGUGUGUGUGUGUGUGUGUGCGUGUAGUCGUAAGCUCAGAUUACAUUCUGUAAUAAUGCGUAUCAUUCCUAAUGGUAACGUUGGGGGAGUGGAUGCAGUGACCCGUGUGUUGUUAUAUAACAUUGGGGAAUGAGCUUCCUGAGCCUGAGUGACUCGCUACCAUUUAUGCAUGCAGAGCGCUUGGCUGGGAGGAAAUGGAGCUCCACGACUGGCCACAGUUUUCUCCCCCUCUCUGUUCAGGCUGUCCUCCAGGGCAGCCAGCAUGUUUCAGCCCCUUUACAACCAACUCUAGCUGAGAAUAUUCUGAGCUCCAAAGUAAACAUCGGUGCUACCAAAUAUCUGAGGACCUACACAGGGUCAUUUGUCCUAAAGGUGCCCGUCUAACAGGAACCCGGUGAUAUAUAGCCAUUCUUAAUUAGUUAUACUUAUCACCCUGAUGUCCUUUCUAAGUUGCUUUUUAAAUAGAUAUUUCCCCCAUCUAUUUAUUAUUAUUACGGUUUCUUUGAAUUCCACAAAUGAAGUGGAAUUCCAUCGUAAUUUAAGGAGGCCUUCGUUAAUACAAAGCACACUAUAUAUGCAGCGAAUACAGGCCAUUUGGCGGACGUCCAAUUUGUUAAAACAAAAUUAUAAUUCGCUUUGGUCCAAGUUCCUCCUCAUUUGAAUUCUUAUUUCUUUAAGUGAAGCAUAAAAAAUGCUCAUGUGGUGAUGAUCACGAGCCUCAUUUGUGAUUCCCAAUGUAAAAUUAGCAUUAGCACAAUUAUUUUCAGUGACUGAUUUGGAUAAAUUUUUUAAAACUAUAAUAAUAGGUAAGAUUUCAAAGUUUUGUCUUAGACGCUUUUUCUUUUUUUUUUAAACAAAAAAUACACAUCGCCUAAUCACAGUGUGCAGUGGUAUAAAGUUUCAGAGCAAUUUGUAAGCUCUGAAGCUGCCUGUACUCUCUGUUACCCCUUUGAUCAGAUUCAAAUUAUGUUAUUUUCUGAUCUAUGAUGUGAUUCCCGGCUCAAUAGAAACAUUUUAAACGGUAAUAUAUUUGGUAUAAUGCAAUAGCUGUGAGUGUGACAUCAUUCUUUGAUAAAGAAAUCCAUUACAUUAAAAAAUACAUUACUGUUAUUUGGGAAUAGAACUAUUGAUUUUUUAUAAAUCUGCAGUACGUCCUGUGAAAUGCGCAACCGUGUUUAUCAGGUGAAAAUCAGAAAAUGUGUAUUUCUACCUAUUUUUAAAUCAAAUCAUUUAAUCCUCACUAUUCAAUGAAACCAACCAUACAUGAAAGUAUGAAGUUUCCAUCAGGAAAAAUAUAUAGUCAGUUGUAUGAAUAGUAUUACAUUAUUUUUCCAACUAUAUGCUUUAAAAUGCGUUCAAAUCUUAACACACAGCCCAGGUUGUGAUGUUAAGAACAACAAAAAAAAAUCAUUAGCUGAAACUGGUGCCAGAUCUGUUGUCUGUAAGAAACUACAGGAUGUCAGGAGUGUCUGCAGAGACAGAGAGCAGACUCGGAGGCUGAAUGGACGCAGUGUGUCGAGCUUCUGUUUCUGUGAUGCAUCACUGACGAGCCACAGCGUCCAGCUCAACCUCCUGAAGGACUGUGUACCGUGUGAAGACAACCUGCUCAGAUCUGUCCUAGCCGAGACGUUUUCUGCAGCCCGGCUGGUGUUUACCUUUGGGCCAAAGCUGCCGUGAAGUAUGUUAUUCCAUUAUGUAAUGCUAUGACUGGUGAGAACUUCAAUGACAGCUCGAUUGGUUUUCUUGUAAGCCAGUGUAUUCAUGGUCUUUGUUAAAGUGUUAAAAUCACACUCUGUGGCUGAGGCCCUGGAGCUUGGAAGGGGUCACUGCUAUGUUUAAGUGAACCAAAUGGAAAAAUUCAUUAUUUCAAGUCAUGUCUUUGGGUUUUAUCCACAUGUAAAUGUUGUAUGUCAGAUCAAAGAACAACUUAAAUAUAAAAUAAAAACUCUAAAAGCCAUUUAUAAUAUUUAUUAAUUUAUGAACAAAUGAAGACAAAGAUCAGAGUGCCGGUUAAGCCAUUGCUCAGUACACACUUUACACUUAGUUGGUGGACGUGUUCACUUGAUUGAAGAGCUUAU
This is a long non-coding RNA of Tachysurus fulvidraco (yellow catfish), 3399 nucleotides long. RefSeq lists it as uncharacterized. NCBI's taxonomy places the organism in Eukaryota, Metazoa, Chordata, Actinopteri, Siluriformes, Bagridae. The transcript is spliced from 2 exons. The record is from RefSeq and is a predicted model, not a curated record.